Non-coding RNA from Cherax quadricarinatus, 1411 nucleotides. The record is from RefSeq and is a predicted model, not a curated record. NCBI's taxonomy places the organism in Eukaryota, Metazoa, Arthropoda, Malacostraca, Decapoda, Parastacidae.
AGGCAGUGGGUGAGGCAGCAGUUGAGGCAGUGGUAUUUAAUAACAUACAUGUUAUUAAUAAUAAUACAUGUUAUUAGUAAUAUGUAUUAUUAUUAUUUAUAACAUGUUAUUAAAUACCACUGCCUCAACUGCUGCCUCUACCAGUGCUUCAACUGCUGCCUCACCCACUACCUCAACCACUGCCUCAACCACUGCCUCAACUGCUGACUCAACCAUUGCCUCACCCACUGCCUCAACCGCUUCCCCAACCACUGCCUCUACCACUCCAGUCGCACUCAAUCUACAAGCACCAAACACAAUGAAUUAUUGUGAAAUGUUUGGAAGAGCACGGAGACUAAUGCUCACUCCAGCAUAAACAAAGCCACACUGACUAUGUGCCCCCGGAACUCACUCCAGCCAUGUCUGACAAAUGAAAUGACAGUUAUAGAGGGAUUGUUUCCUGUGUUCCACUGGACAGAGACCCAGAUUUGCUUGUAAACAGAUAAUGCAUCAUAAUGCAGAUAAAGAUGCUAUCAAGAGACAUGGUAAACAAGAGAUGUUCAAGGCUGCUACCAGCAAAACACAGCAUACUAUUUUACAGUAAACUUUUUUUAUCAACACCUUCACUUCAUGACUUAAAAAGGAGGUCAAAUAUUUUUACAAGAGAUCUUCUUCAACAAACCAGCCGUAUCCCACCGAGGCAGGGUGACCCAAAGAGAAAAACAGAAGUUUCUCUUCAUAACUUUAGUAAUGUAUAAAGAAGGGGUUACUAACUCCUUGCUCCCUUCUACAAGAUAUAUUACUAUAAAUUUUAUGAUAAAAUGAAAGAAAGGAUACUAUCAGAUUAUCAUGUAAAUCCUUCAAUAUAUUUCAUGUCUAACAAAAAUUUCUAGUACAGCGAGAUAACAUGACAUCAGUAAGGCUAGUACUGUUUGUCCCUUCAACUUUUUUUCUAUGUCUUAUGAGCAAUACAAAUUAGUUACAGCAGUUAUACAUUAAAAUUAGUCAUGGUUUGAAAUCUUACUGUAACACAACUCUACUUUAAUACAAUAAAAGGCUUAAAAGAAACUGGUGCUGAAUUGAUUUCCCCAAUAGUGUAAUUUCACACCUCUAAAUUGUGUAUUUUCUUUAUUAUUUUUUACAGCUAAAUUUACUCUAAAUGCCAUUUAAGAAAAAUAAGACAUUUAUUGAAUGGGAACCCUCCUCGCAGAUAGCCCCACCUUUGCCAGCAAUAGCUUUAUUAAACCAGCUUUGAUUAUACAUACUUCCUUUAGCACUCCUCGCUGCCCUUCCUAACUGUACCUCUGUUACACUCUUCAUCCACGCUAAUCUCUGAUCAGGCAUAUUACACAUUUUAGCACAGUCUACCCUGCAGCACUUUACGACUCUUAUGGGUUUAGCACUUAGUUAUGAUCAUAAUAAUAAUAAUAAU